AUUUGGAAAGGUAUUUAACACAUAUUCUCAUCCGAAACGGUGCUUUGGUGACAUCGAACUUUGCUGUUAAAGCCAAAUUCUUCGACUGGAAGGUUCUUUAGUGAAAAAAUCAGCAAUUUGAUCGAUGGUCCCAGUAAAGCAUCUAUUUGAUACCCCCAUGGAUGACCUUUUCAGAGAUAAUAUGGAAGUCUACUUCUAUAUAUUUUGCGCCAGCAUGAUAAAUUGGAUUGAAGGCUAAACAAAAUAUUUUAUUAGUAAAUCAAUGGUAGAGAUUUCAAGACUAUAUCUCAAAGAACCAUGCAUCUCAACCAUAAGUCGAUGGCAGUAUGGACCAAAGAUAUAUGCUAAGAUUCUGGGCA
RNAcentral lists this long non-coding RNA (359 nucleotides) under Elaeis guineensis (African oil palm). RNAcentral describes it as "long non-coding RNA (EGUI_LNC015257)". The record is from RNAcentral. Lineage: Eukaryota; Viridiplantae; Streptophyta; Magnoliopsida; Arecales; Arecaceae.